UCAUUUGUAGGUAGCUCAUUCUUGCUAAUUGUUAUAGCUUAGAUUACUUUAGAACAUUUAUCCUGUGUGCUCUGCACUUUAGGUUGUUUGUACAAACAAUACACUAGAAGGAAUUUUGUCCGUUUGAUGUGUGUUGAGAAAAAAGUUUGAAGUGUGUCGAAAAACUGUUGGUUUAUAUUGUUGUAAUGUGAUUCACUAGAAGGAAUUAUGACAGUAGUUCAGCGAAAAAGGUUUACCAGGUUUGCUGCAGGGAAGAGAUAGAAAGAGCGAAAUAGAGAAGGCAGGGGCGUGAUCUGUUGUAGGUAUGAAGUGAAGUAAUCCUUCCAUUAUUGUUGUUUGUUUUCGCAAGUCUGUUUUGCACAACUCUGUUUGCAGUGCGUGCAGUAACUGAUCGAUUGCGUUUUGAGGGUUUUAGGUGUUGAAUAUGACCGGACCAUUAAAAUAAAAGUUGUAUAUCUUUUCAAGAACUUUCGAACGAAUAUUUAUUUGCAAUUUUUCGUCAGAUAUUCUAGGAGAUAUUCCUAUCUGAAGUUUCAGGCAUGAGUUCCUAUUUUGUGCGGCCUUUUAAAGUAACUUCAAGGCUGAAUCUGUCCAUGGGUCUAUGGAUGUAUUUUAAGUAUUUGGUUUGAAAUUUCCAAGGAUAAUUUAUUCUGAAAUUUUCAUUGAGUAUAGUGAAAGAUACAACCUUCUGAAUGCUGUUGUCCAUUGCGAGUUCUAUUCUGAACUUCUGACAGUUACUGUUUUCUGUAUUGAGAGGUUGUUUUCUGUAUAGAGGAAUUUUGCUAUGGGACUGCACCUACUUGCCCCCUUGAUUUUUCAGUGUACUAGGCAAAAAAUAUUGUACUGAAUGAUCUGCACUAAUGUGCAUCCCUGAAAGUAGAUUGCAGUUAGAAUUAGAAACCAUUUUUUGGUUUGUUUCCUGAAAUUAAUAGCUGUUGCAAAUUGUAUAGGGUUCGUUGAUCCCAUUUCUUAUAGUUUGUAAUUGUAUUUCUACAGUCUAACAAGACCGUCGCAUGGAUUGAUUGGUUCGGAGGAGAACCGCAACAAGAUAUGCUGCUGAAAAAUCAACAUGGAAUUUGAGUCAGGUCGAUGUAGUGCAUUAACCUCGGCUGAUCUAUCUUGGGCCUCUCAUUUUCCUUUGGUUCUGAAUUCCACUGGUGGUAACUUCACUCAUAAAUUUUUGCUGCUCAGGUCUUUGACUUUUUUUUGCUGCAGAGAUAUUGGACCUGCUUGGGCUGAAAAAGAUAUGACCCAAGCUUAUAUUGAAGUAAUGUAUGAGGCUGAUUUAGUUAAUACUGCAGUUUGAAGAUUGUACAAAUAAUUGUAUCUGAAUAAACAAUUUUUCCUGUACACUGGAAUGUACUGAAUUUUUUGCUGUAAUAGCACACAAUGUCGUAGUGAGUUGCCUGAAUAAAACUUCAGGAGUUUGUGUACUGGGAGGGGAGCGGGAACUCAUUC
Molecule: long non-coding RNA, 1458 nt
Filed under: Triticum aestivum (bread wheat)
Lineage: Eukaryota; Viridiplantae; Streptophyta; Magnoliopsida; Poales; Poaceae
Description: long non-coding RNA (TAES_LNC023120)
Source: RNAcentral